GAAGCUAUAGUGAUGAUUAAAGCUCCGUGGAUGACAUUCACCGCGUGCCUUAAUAUUUUUGUUAUGAAUAAUAUUUAUAACUCAUCAAGGCAAUCGCGGAAAAUGGCAUACAAAACGGACUUUAUAAUGUUUACUUAUAAUGAU
RNAcentral lists this microRNA precursor (144 nucleotides) under Schistosoma mansoni. Its description in RNAcentral is "microRNA sma-mir-124b precursor". Its record names the gene sma-mir-124b. The record is from miRBase by way of RNAcentral. Lineage: Eukaryota; Metazoa; Platyhelminthes; Trematoda; Strigeidida; Schistosomatidae.